CCUUGGAGUUAAUCCAGUAAGACCCCUUAAAGAUGAUGAGGUUGAUAGGUCUCGGGUGGAAGCACGGCGACGUGUGGAGCUGAGAGAUACUAAUCGGUCGAGGACUUAUCCUAAA
This is a ribosomal RNA of 115 nucleotides. It matches the Rfam family "Bacterial large subunit ribosomal RNA", at positions 2814 to 2925 of the family's 2925-position model.